This 477-nucleotide ribosomal RNA is filed under the name uncultured bacterium. Its description in RNAcentral is "partial 16S ribosomal RNA". It matches the Rfam family "Bacterial small subunit ribosomal RNA", at positions 28 to 506 of the family's 1533-position model. The record is from RNAcentral.
GAUGAACGCUGGCGGCGUGCUUAACACAUGCAAGUCGAACGAGAAGUGGAGACGGACACCUUCGGGCGGAAGACUUUAUUUCGAGUGGCGGACGGGUGAGUAACGCGUGGGUAACCUGCCUCAUACAGGGGGAUAACAGUUGGAAACGACUGUUAAUACCGCAUAAGACCACAGCACCGCAUGGUGCGGGGGUAAAAACUCCGGUGGUAUGAGAUGGACCCGCGUUCGAUUAGCCAGUUGGCGGGGUAACGGCCCACCAAAGCGACGAUCGAUAGCCGAUCUGAGAGGAUGACCGGCCACAUUGGGACUGAGACACGGCCCAAACUCCUACGGGAGGCAGCAGUGGGGAAUAUUGCACAAUGGGGGAAACCCUGAUGCAGCGACGCCGCGGGAGUGAAGAAGUAUUUCGGUAUGUAAAGCUCUAUCAGCAGGGAAGAAAAUGACGGUACCUGAGUAAGAAGCCCCGGCUAACUACGU